AGUGAACGCUGGCGGUAGGCCUAACACAUGCAAGUCGAACGGCAGCACAGUAAGAGCUUGCUCUUACGGGUGGCGAGUGGCGGACGGGUGAGGAAUACAUCGGAAUCUACUUUUUCGUGGGGGAUAACGUAGGGAAACUUACGCUAAUACCGCAUAAGACCUACGGGUGAAAGCAGGGGAUCUUCGGACCUUGCGCGAUUGAUUGAGCCGAUGUCGGAUUAGCUAGUUGGCGGGGUAAAGGCCCACCAAGGCGACGAUCCGUAGCUGGUCUGAGAGGAUGAUCAGCCACACUGGAACUGAGACACGGUCCAGACUCCUACGGGAGGCAGCAGUGGGGAAUAUUGGACAAUGGGCGAAAGCCUGAUCCAGCCAUACCGCGUGGGUGAAGAAGGCCUUCGGGUUGUAAAGCCCUUUUGUUGGGAAAGAAAAGCAGCAGGUUAAUACCCCGCUGUUCUGACGGUACCCAAAGAAUAAGCACCGGCUAACUUCGUG
RNAcentral lists this ribosomal RNA (492 nucleotides) under uncultured bacterium. RNAcentral describes it as "partial 16S ribosomal RNA". It matches the Rfam family "Bacterial small subunit ribosomal RNA", at positions 29 to 507 of the family's 1533-position model. The record is from RNAcentral.